RNAcentral lists this ribosomal RNA (459 nucleotides) under uncultured bacterium. RNAcentral describes it as "partial 16S ribosomal RNA". It matches the Rfam family "Bacterial small subunit ribosomal RNA", at positions 338 to 795 of the family's 1533-position model. The record is from RNAcentral.
CCUACGGGUGGCAGCAGUGAGGAAUAUUGGUCAAUGGGCGCGAGCCUGAACCAGCCAAGUCGCGUGAGGGAAGACGGUCCUAUGGAUUGUAAACCUCUUUUGUCGGGGAGCAAAAGACGCCACGCGUGGAGUUCCGAGAGUACCCGAAGAAAAAGCAUCGGCUAACUCCGUGCCAGCAGCCGCGGUAAUACGGAGGAAGCGAGCGUUAUCCGGAUUUAUUGGGUUAAAGGGGUGCGCAGGCGGAAGAUCAAGGCAGCGGUAAAAUUGCGGGGCUCAACCACUUCGAGCCGUUGAAACUGGGUUUCUUGAGUGCGCGAGAAGUAUGCGGAAUGCGUGGUGUAGCGGUGAAUUGCAUAGAUAUCACGCAGAACUCCGAUUGCGAAGGCAGCAUACCGGCGCUCAACUGACGCUCAUGCACGAAAGUGUGGGUAUCGAACAGGAUUAGAUACCCUUGUAGUC